CUCCCUGCCGGCCGAGCGGCGCGGGGGAGGAGGCCGGCGGGCGGGUGCAGGGAAGGGGCCUCAGCCCCGGCGCCCGGCGUGGGGAGGAGGGGACCGAGUCGGAGCCGGGGCUUGGCCGCGUACACGACCCCCCCCAUCUCGACCCCCACCCCCGCCCCCGUCCGGUUCCGCGGGCAGGGGGCCCUGGCGGCGAGGCAGCGGCCAGUACUGCCUUCACUUUUUAGUGACUGCAGAGGAAAGAAGCUCUAGAAAGUGUUUCACGUUACAGUGA
Molecule: long non-coding RNA, 271 nt
Filed under: Suricata suricatta (meerkat)
Lineage: Eukaryota; Metazoa; Chordata; Mammalia; Carnivora; Herpestidae
Description: lncRNA (ENSSSUG00005005636.1)
Source: RNAcentral